UGGCCAGCCAAAGGGUGGGGGGGGGGGAUAAGGAGGAGGAGGGGGAAAGAAGAGGGUGACAGAUGGGAGCCAGGAAAGGAGAGGGGGGAGGUCAGAAGAAUGGGUCUUUCUUUGCAGCCCCAUUGAUGCCCCCCUUUUUGUCCUGGGAGUGGCCUCCCCCUUUGGAAGAGCAAACAAUGGGGAGAGGCGCAGCAAGCAAGCCUGAAUUCUGAACGUACCACAGCAGAUCCACUUGGUAGAACUUCUGGCUGUAUGUGGUAUGGCAUUCCUGAAACGCUGAACUGGGCUUGAGACUGGAUGAGAAACUGUUCCACGGGGCGCUGUAGUAAAACAAUUGCCACAGACAACAUGUCAGUCUCAUUAAUCUGGGACAGUGGGCCUGGAAGAAUUCUGCCUGAGAGAUUUUUCAGCUCAUCCCAGACUUACAGAUGUGGAACAUGAAAGUUAACAUAACUCCAUAUCUGGGGAUGUGGUCACCAACCAAAGUGAAUGACUUUGGAUCAUACUAUGAAACUGCCCACAAUCCGGAAAAGGUCUCACCACCAUCACCGCUGGUUCCUCUGGUGUUACGGGACUCAGGUCACGCUUCUGACGCCAGCGCCCUUCCUGGAUGCUUCUAUUGGAGCUGGGGGUAGUCAUGGGCUCUUGGAGUUCUAGCUAUAGUGAAAGAGACAUUGUGCAGGUAAAAAACAAGCUGUUGUAUCUCAAGGGCAGCAAUGGAAAGCAUCUAUAUGCUUUCAAACAACCGAGACCAUACAUAAUUUCAAAUCUAUAAUGUGCAAAGGGAGAGAGUGUGGCUUUCAGAUGUCCUUGGACUGCAGCUCCCACCAUAUGCAUUUGAACAAUAUGUGGAGAAUCGAAAUUUGCCCACCCUCACUGGAGAGGCAAAUCACAUGUAUUUUCUGAAUCACCUAUAGGUAAAGGUAAAGGUUUUCCCCUGACAUUAAGUCUAGUUGUGUCCGACUCUGGGGGUUAGUGCUCAUCUCCAUUUCUAAGCCAAAGAGCUGAUGUUAGCCAUAGACGCUUCCAAGGUCAUGUGGCUGGCAUGACUGCAUGGAGCGUAGUGACCUUCCCGCUGGAGCAGUACCUAUUGAUCUACUCACAUUUGCAUGUUUUUGAACUGCUAGCUCAGGGGAAAAAAAGCUUUGUACUAUAACACCCACAAUCCUGCAGUCAGUGGCAAUGUUGAGUAGGUGUCCCUGAAAUUGUAGUCACUGGAGUAACCUUUACUAGCUGUACUAAUGGGUUACACCAAAUAUUUAAUGGAAAGGAAGGGAUUUUAGAAAGGAGGAAGACAUGGCACCAAAUAGGAGAAAUCUAAGUAUGGAAGCAAAGAAGAAGAAUGGAUGGAAUUUCUGAUGCAAACAUAAAUAAAAGGAUUUGGCUGUGAAAACA
Anolis carolinensis (green anole) is the source of this 1395-nucleotide long non-coding RNA. RefSeq lists it as uncharacterized. The record is from RefSeq and is a predicted model, not a curated record. Lineage: Eukaryota; Metazoa; Chordata; Lepidosauria; Squamata; Anolidae. The transcript is spliced from 3 exons.